Molecule: ribosomal RNA, 216 nt
Filed under: Triticum aestivum (bread wheat)
Lineage: Eukaryota; Viridiplantae; Streptophyta; Magnoliopsida; Poales; Poaceae
Description: partial small subunit ribosomal RNA
Source: RNAcentral
AUGAAUUUCCCGGCGCGUUGGAUAGACUGGGUCGCCCUGCCUCUCUCCUCCGCGUCCUCCACCUGCAUGCUAAACGGAGACCCGGGCCCUGCGACCCUUCAUCAGCGGGGGCUGUGGCAAGGGGACCCCCUUUCGCCGAUCCUCUUCAUUCUGGCGAUCAACACCCCUCACCGACUAUUAGAAGCAGCUCAGCAUGCCGGGGCCAUCGCCCCCCUG